CCCACCUACCUACCUGCCUACCAUUCUCUUGUCUAUAGGAUUCCCUGUAUAUCACAGAUAAUCAAACAUGCAGACUGUACUUUCUCAUUCCCAGUGCUGUUUCACAUCUACUCCAACAUUAUGUCCUCAGAGCUACCUCAUGGCCUAGUUAGGCCAGGGUUCAUCACUCCCGUUUGGCAGGUGAGGAACCUGAAGCUUGGAGGAUUUGAACCUGCUACUGUUCUACGAUACCAAGCUCUUCUCCAGUCUGCAUAUGACUUGCCUUUGGGUAAGACCCUCGAGAGCUUGUAUUUGGGUCAGGGUUAUGAGGUUCAAUCAUGAGCAACCAGUCCUUACGCAGGUGGAGAUGAAGAGGUUGAGAGAAAGAAGUGUGGCAUUCAUUCAGAGAUUGGUCCCUGAACACCAGUUUCCCUCUGUGCUCUUUGCAAACAUAGAUUUUGGGAAAAUGAACCUGUGUGUUGUCCUCAGCUUCCUCACCUAUCAACAAGGGAGCUGCAUGAUAUCCUCCCAGAACCUUCCAGCUGGUGCUGAGGUAUGGUCAAUUAGAAGGGUAGCCCACAGCAUCAUCCUCUUCCCAGCAGGACCCUCCAGAUCUACCAUCCGCCAGUUCUUCUACCACCUCACCCAGUCCCAGGCCAGCUCAGUGUGUGACAGCAUGCCCUCACAUUCCUGGUGGAGGUGCUCAACUUUGCCAUCAUCCUCUUUGACUACUCGGCCUUUGGGGUAAACCAGCAAGCCCUUGGCCCACACAUCUCUCCCAAGACUGCUGAACUCAGCACUUUGGUUUCCUGGGAACCACCGCCCAGAACUUUGGGUUCAUGGAGCUGCAAUUCCCUCUGUUGUUGGGGGUGGGGGCAGCCAUCAGUUAUCCUCAAUAACUGGGCAGAUGACAGGAUAGCUUUGCCCUCAGCUUCUUAAUAGGAGAGAGUGGUCUCCCUCUCCCUCUCUCUCUUUUUAGAAUAGCAAUUUCACUGACUCCAUUACUGAAAUGGCUCUUGCCUCCUGUGCCCUAUCCAAGUUGCUAUGACGUUGUUUUAUUGCUUCUCUGAAAAGCUCCUACUAAUUAAGGUGAAAGCCAGACACAAAUGGGGCUGGGGCUGCAGUGCAAGGCACAGGUCUUUCACCGAGCUGACUGGACAGGAUUCUUUCAGGGCCCUGCAGCUGCCAUCCCCUCUUUGUUCAGUUUCUGGACUCUCUUGAUAAUUCAUCAAGGCCUGGCCCCUCACCCCCCAAAACCAGGACAUCUGCCAGCUAGAGAGGGGCUGGAAGGGGAGACGAGACUACCUGUAGCACCCUUACUCUGGCCUGUGCUCAGUGGCCAGAGGAGAGGAGGGGUGGUGACAGCAGGAGCAGACAGAGUCCCCUCCAGAUUAAGAUCUUGGGGGGGUAAGUCCUGCUCUGUGUCCUGGGGCUUAAAGAAAUGUCAAAAGCAGCUCUAGCCCUGAAGGGACUGAGCAUUUGACUGAGGAAACAGGACACAUGUCUGGGAACAGCAAACCACAGUCCAAGCUGGUCGGUGUCCAGUGUCCCAGGACUAUGAGGCCAGUCAGGAACCUGGGGUGCACAAUGGAUGACCAUUCUGUUUGGGGAUGGGGAGGAAAGGUCAGGAGGGUUUUCUGGAGUCAGGGACAUUAGAACAAGGCCUUGAAGGCCAAGUCAGGACAAAGACAGAGAGAGAGAGAGAAAGAGAGAGAGAGGGAGAGAGAGGUGAGCAAUGAAUCCCCAAUAGUUUUCAGGGGGUCAAAGGAGAGACCCAUGUACAGGGAGAUGAAUAGAGUGAGGCCAGCAGGAAUUGGAGGCUAGCCCUCAAGCUCAGGUUGAGGGGAAGAGGGGCCCCUGAAAUCCAGAAUAUGAAGGUGACAUCUCCUGAAGUGUUUGUGAGAAUGGCAGGGCUAGGGGCCAGGCAGGCACUGUCCGCCACAUGUCUGCCCCUAAGCCACAGCCUCUCCUGCCUGGUAGAAAUACUCAUCCAUCCGCUGACCUGGCGCUCCAAGCCCAGAUUUACAGCAGCAGUGACAUAAAACCUCCCCAGUGGGUGUUCCCCAGGGCCUCACCCUAAACUUCUCUCUGGGAAGAGAUAUUUGCAGCAAACUUGCUGGGGGGCUCAGUUAUCCCAAGAAGUGUGUCUCAAGAGCUUCCUAAGGCCCCUCUGAUUAGAUGGUCUCCAUUGGCCCAGUGAAAAAGAUUUAAGGAUUAUCUUAAUAAUAAACCACCCAAGCAGCAGACAACCCAAGAGGGGCAAGAUUUUAGCACCUGAAGUGGCGGCUUUGGCUCCUUUGUCAAGAAUAGAUGAAGGGUGUAAAAAAACUCAACUUUUUCAGCAAAGCAAAGGGAGUCCAGGUGUCCCCAGGAGUCACAAGCAAAUCGUUUGUGAAAAGGUAGUUUUAUUAUUUUUCUUCCUUUCUCCCCUACUAACAAUUAUUCUUGAAAUAACCACCCCGGUCUUCCUCUCGGCUUUGAUGACCCCAGUGAGCUGUGUGGGCUCCUGAGAGGCCAAAGCAGGUGAGCACAGAGGCUCCUCUCCUAUGUCCUGGGUAGGGCAUGGAGGCCCAGGUAUGGCUGCAAUUAUCAGCUUUUCUGGGCAUCUGCAGGAGAUUUAGUCUCAACUACGUGGCUCAGUCCUGGCACCUGGUGAAAUGCAUCUAUUUUGGCCUGUCUACCUAGCAGAUCAAGUGAGGCUACUCAAACUGGAUCCUUGGCAACUUCCUGACCAAAAACCUCAACCUCAUCAACCUCAUCUUGUUCAAAGGGUGAGUGGAGAACCAACUUCAGAUACAUGGGGCUGGGACCCUCUGAGGGCUCGCACGGCCGGUCCAGGACAAAUUGUGGGCCCAGGUCUGGACGAACAGGGUCUCUUGGAUGGGGCCACACCAUGAGAGAGUCCUGGGACCCAAGGACACGCUGAACCAAGGCAAGAGGGAAUAGGCUCUGUGUCCACAUGUUCCCCGUAAACUUUUUCCUCCUUCUUCUCAACUUCAUUCAAACUCGUCCCUCAUGGAAUGCCUUUCUCUCUGCGCCGCAAAUACACAUGUUUUCCCCCAUUAGAGGCAGAUGCAGAACCAGGGGCAGUGACUUUCCUCUGGGGUGGGUGAAUGAGCUCCAAAGCAAGGGCUCUGGGAUGCUUCUGGAGGUGGGAGAGGACCGGAAUGAACUCCUUCACUUAGAGCCAAAUGGUGCUGCGGCCUACAAGACCCAUGGUCCGACCCUGCCUGUAUGUCCCACUUCAACUUGCGUCCCUCCUCUCUUCGGGCCCCUGGAGCCACUCUGUUCCUGGAAUGUGUCCAGCUCUUUCUCACCUCUCUACCUGGGGCCUGCUGUCCUGGAAAUGCCUCAUCCCACUCUCACCCUUUCCAAAGAGCUGCCUCUGUCCAUCCUUCAAGACUCAGCAUAAAGACCCUCCUGGCCACCCAAUCUGAAGUGUCUCUGCCACCCCCUUGUUUAUUUCCUUUGUAGCACUUAUCACGAUCUAUCAAUGUCUGCCGAUGUAUUGUCAGUGUUCUCCACGUAGGAUGUUUUCUCUCUUGUGCACCCACAUAUCCUAAAUACUUAGCAUGGCGCCUAGCAGAGAGUAAGACUGCUUGCUGAAAGGAUGGAGAAUAGAUGGGGCGGUUGGGGUGAUUGGAUUGGAAGAGGCGGGAUGGGAUGGGAAGGGAAAGAAUGGGAUGGGAAGGGAAAGAAUGGGAUGGGAUGGGAAAUGGUGGAAUGAGACAGGAUGGGAUGAAAUAAUGGAUGGGACUGGAUGGGAUGGGAGGAAGGGCAUGGGUGGGGUGUGACGGCACGAACAAGUUGGACAGAUGGGCUGGACCACUAGAUGGACCAGUGCCCUCAAGCCUCCUGGUGGUCCUCUCUGGUCCCAGCUUCCACUUUAUACCUUUCCUCCUGGAGCUGAGGGCAGUCAGACUGGGUGUGGACUGACACUGCCCUCAGCCUGUCCAACUGGAUAUGCCUAUAGGACCUAUAUGCCAACAUCUUCAUCAUGAAGUGCUGGCAGGAGUCCAAGAAGGUGUGCAUGCAGCAUCUCCUGCCUCUCAGGAGUCUUGGAGGUGGCAGCUUACCUGGCCUUAACCUUGUUCCCCUGGAGCAGUGAGAUUCCUGCCCUGCCUAGUAUUCACCUAACGGUGUGGCCCUGGCCCUGAUUCUCCUGGGGCUCACAGAAUAUGUAGUAAGUCCUCAAUAAUAUGGCAGAUCUUGUGCUAAAUUCUUCCUACCAUCACAACCACCUGAUGGAGGAGGUACCAUUUUUUUUUUUGUUUACAUUCUUUUUUUUUUUAAAGAUUUUAUUUUUUUCCUUUUUCUCCCCAAAGCCCCCCAGUACAUAGUUAUAUAUUCUUAGUUGUGGGUCCUUCUAGUUGUGGCAUGUGGGAUGCCGCCUCAGCGUGGCUGGAUGAGUGGUGCCAUGUCCGCGUCCAGGAUUCGAACCAACGAAACACUGGGCCACCUGCAGCGGAGUGCGCGAACUUAACCACUCGGCCACGGGGCCGGCCCCAGGAGGUACCACUUUUAUUCCCAUUUUACAGAGGAGCAGGCAACUCAAGAGUGGCUCUGUGCCCAGGGUCACAUAGCUAGAAAUAAUGGAGUUGGGACCUAGAUCCAACUCUCCCUGACCCCAGUGCUUUGGAUCACCAGACAUUCCCUGAAUUGACUACCUUCCCCAAACUUUUAAGGGUCAUUUGCCAAACUGCCCUCCCUCAAGUCCACACCUGCCUGGCUCUGACCUGUGUGGCCCUCUUCUGCAGAAAUACCCCCAGCCUCCAGGGCAGCAGCAGCAGGUUUGAAAUACAGAGUUGGGGGCAUUAUCACGUUUGCUUUGGUUUUCCUCAUGUGGUUGCCCAGUUUUCGUGUCCUUGUUGGAGACAGUGGGCAGUAUGACCAACCAGCCCCUGGAUGUCUCUGCCAGGAUGGCCAUUAACGGUUAUCAGGUGGCUGGAGCAGAAGGGGAAGGGAAGUGCCUGUGUUUGUGGGGAGGCGGUAUCAGCACAUGCUUCCUAGCCUGAAAUCUUUGCUCCUUGAGCUGUGGUCCUACAUGUGGAUUCAGAGCUCAGACUGGCCUCAGAGCCUUGUUCUUGCUGUUCCUUCCCCCAAACAUACUCUUUCCAUCUUCUCCCUUGCCAGUUUCAAAAGAGAAGAGAUCUGAGUCUCUUCUCCAUCUGUCCUCUCAGCACCUCAGCCCAUUCCAGAUCAUGUGCUUAGUGCUGACACACAUCACCCCAGAGAACAGAAGCUCCUUGAGUGCAAUGUGUCAACUCCUUGCCUCUCUGCUCCCAUCACUAGCAUGGGCCAGCUUUCUGACCUGUACCCCACCGUCCUCCUUUCUCUCAGACCCUGUUCUCAAUGAGAUCUCAGCAACAGAACCUGGUCCCCUUUUCAGAUGCAGAUUAAGACCAGCUAACCCAGCAAUAUACUCUUCAAUCCAUGAGUGUCUCCCAAGCCCAAAGAAGCUACCGGGCAUCCAGUUCCCACUUGUGCAUUUCCUUCCCCUACCAGAUACUAGAAUCCUGUAAAGCUACAAGUAUUAAAAUGGAAUGGACCUGGAAUAGGAUAUGGGAGGCAAAUCAAUGCAACAGGAGCACAAAGAUGAACCCAAAUGACAAUAAAAGAGGUGGCAUUGCAUCCUGAUGUAGGUUCCUUUUUCUUCCAAGCCCACCAUGCUGCUCCUAGCGAACUACAGACCAGAGGACGUAGUUCUUGCCAAGAUCAAAAGUCAUGCCAGUCUGCUAUGGGGCAUCAGCCCUGCCAACAGAGCAGCAAUGGUCAAGGAACUAGCCAAUACCACUUUCAUCUACAUCACCACCUUCUGGACCAUUCAGAGGUAAUCUGGGGUCAUCCAAAUCCACAGCCCUGUCUUAAGCCCCCAGUUGUUUGUGGGAUCCUACAGGUAAACAUUAAGAAGUUCUGAGCACUUUCAAAAAUAAUCAUAAUGACUGAUCUUGAAUGAAGACCACAUAGUUGUCAGUCACUGUGUCGGUCUAUCUGUCCUUCCUUCCUUCUCUCUCUCUCAAAAAUAAUUUCUAUUUGGAAUUUAUCCAUUGUUAGCCAAUCUUUCGCUAUGGUUAACUUUUUAGGAUUAGUCUUUGUUUUUAAUUUUAUAAAAGUAUAAUUGAGAAGCACUGAGAAAAGUCUAUGUAUAUAUACAUGUACACAUAUAUAUAAUCAGUGCAAAGGUUGAUGAAUUUUCACAAACUGAACACACCGCUGUAAGCAGCACCCAGAUCAAGAAACAGAACUUCACUACCCCUCAGUCGCUACACUUUCCUAAGGGAAACUCACCACCCUGACUUCUAAAAACACAGAUUAGGUUUACCUUGCUGUUUUCUCAAAAUUCACUGUUUUGCUUUGUUUUGUGAAACGAUACCAGAAUAAAACAAAUACCAAUUAUUUUUAAUUAUAUGGUUAGAAAGAACACGUUUUAAAAAUGGACUAAGGAACAAACAAUAUUACUUGUCCCAAAAGUAUUUUGGCAUUAUGUGAGUAGAUCUUUUAUUAUCGUUUUGCCUUAUGGUCUAUUUUGUGUUUUGUGGUAGAUUUUUUGAGGAAUGAAUGUGGAACAUUAAAUGGGAUAUAUGAGGAUGUAAUGAUGCUGGCUGAAGGCUGAAGAAGAAUAUGUAUUCAUGAUAACUUUUUUAUUGCAUCAAAAUGUACAUACAGCAAAUUCACAGAUAAGUGUGCAAUUUAAUGGAGUUUUGAGUAAUGCAAAUACCCACGUAACCACCACCCCAAUCAAGACUGAUAAUAUUCCUAUCAUCCCAGAAAGUUCCCUCAUGGCCCUUCCAGUUCAUGCCAUGGCAACCACUGUUCUAAUUUUUUUUUUUUUUUGAGGAAGAUUAGCCCUGAGCUAACUACUGCCAAUCCUCUUUUUUCUGAGGAAGGCUGGCCCUGAGCUAACAUCCGUGCCCAUCUUCCUCUACUUCAUAUGUGGGAUGCCUACCACAGCAUAGCAUGCCAUGUGGUGCCACGUCCACACCCAGGAUCCAAACGGGUGAACCCCGGGCCGCUGAGGAGCAGAACGUGUGAACUUAACCGCUGCGCCACUGCCCGGUCCCCCACUGUUCUAAUUUUGAUCACUGUAGAUCAGUCUUCCCUACUCGUGAAUUUCAUACACAUGUAAUCAUAGACUAUGUACCACUUGUACAACACAAUGCUUUUGAGAUUCAUCUACAUUGUUGCGUGUAUCAGUUGUUUAUUCUUUUUUUAAUAUUGAGUAGGACCUCACUGUAUAAAUAUAUACAAUUUAUUUAUUCAUCCUUCUAAUAGACAUCUGAGUUGUGCCCAUUUUUGUGGACAUAUGUCCUCUUUUUCUCUUGAGUAAACACGUAGGAAUGGAAUUUGUUUUGUGAUGAAGUGGUUCCAGGUUUAACUUUUUAAGAAACUUAGUUUCCAAAGUGAGUGUACCAUCUUACACUCCCACCAGCAAUGUAUGAGAGCUGCAGUAGCCCCAGUUGCUCCACAUCCUCUCCAACAAUAGAUAUCAUCAAUCUUUUGAAUUUUGACCAUUCUGAUGGGUGUGAGUGGUACGUCAUUGUGCUUUUGUGUUUCCCUGAUGACUAAUGAUAAGGAGUAACUUUAUAUGCACUUAUUGUCUAUUUGUAUAUCUUCCUUUGUAAAGUGUCUAUUCAAUAUUGUUCUGUUUUUGGCUUUUACUGAGUUGUAGGAAUUCUUUAAACAUUCUGGAUGUAAGUCCUUUGUCAGAUGCAUGUACGUAAAUAUUUCCUGCAGUCGGCGACUUGCCUUUGCAUGCUGUCAGUGCUGACUUUUGCUGAGCAGAGGUUUUUAAUUUUGAAGAAAUCCAAUUUGUCAAUAUAUUUUUUUGCAGUUAGUGUUUUUUGGGUCCUCUCUAAGAAAUUUCUGCCUACCUGAAGUUCAUGAAGAUAUUCUUGUAUGUAUUCUGCUAGCUUUAUAGUUCUAGCUUUUAUGUUUAGGCCUAUAACCUAUCUCAAAUUAAUUUUAAACGUGAUGUGGAGUAGAAGUCAAGGCUCAUUUUUUUCUAUACAUUUUCCUAGUUUUUCCAGUCGAUUUGCUGAAAAAAAUGUUUCUUCUCACUGAAGGGGCCAUUGCCUUCACAUUUUUGUAAAAAAUCGACUGAAUACAUAUAAAUCUAUCUCUGGAUUCUUCAUUAUGACCCACUGAUCUAUUUCUCUAUGAUUCCAUCAAUACCACACCAUCUUGAUUACUAGUUUUUGAUGCGUUUUGAACUCAGGAAAUGUGAGCUCUCCAACUUGGUUGUUUAUUUUCAAGAUUGUUUGGGCUAUUCUAGGUCCUACGCACUUCCAUUUCCAUUUCAGAAACAUCUUGUCAGUUCUACAAAAAAUCUUGUUGCUAUUUGGAUUGAAAUUAUGUUGAAACUAUAAAUGUCCCUAGUUCGAUGUGGAGAGAACUCACAUCUUAACAAUACUGAGUCUCCAAACCACGUACAUAGUUUAUCCAUUUAGAUCUUUAAUUUCUCUUAGCACUGUUUUCUACUUUUUUAUAUACAGGUCUUGCACACUUUUAAAGUUAUUCUUAAGUAUUUUUUGAUGCUAUUUAUCAAUGAAAUAGUUUUUAAAACUUCAUUUCCAACUAUUUGCUGCUAGAAUAAAAAAUAUAAUUUAUUUUAUAUAUUGACUUUGUAUCCUGUGACCUUAUUAAAAGUACUUAUUAGUCCUAAUAUUUUCUUUAAAAAUUUUCACAUAAAUAAUCACGGCAUCCAUAAAUAUAGAGAGGCUUGCUCUUUUUCCCCAAUCUACACAGCAUUUCUGCCUUGUUACACUAGCUGGGAAUUUCAGUACAAUAGUCAAUAGGAAUGGUUAAGAGCAGACAUUCUUGCCUUGUUCCCAAUCUUAGGAGAAAAGCCUUCAAUGUUUCAGGAUAAAUAUGAUGUUAACUAGGAUUUUCAUAUAUGUCCCUUAUAAGAUUGAAAAAGUUGUCUUCUCAUCCAAGUUUGCUAACACUUUUGGUCAUGGACACAAUUUUGGAAUGGACAGUGAAUUUUGUCAGACACUUUUUCUGUAUCUUUUGAAAUGAUCAUAUGCUUUUACCCAUUUAUGUUAAUAUGGUGAAUUAUAUUAGCUGACUUUUAAAUGUCCUACCAUCUUUCCAUUCCUUGGAAAAACUCUACUUAGUAAUGAUGUAUUAUCACAUUAUAACCACUGGGUUCAAUUUGCUAAUAUCAUGCUAGGGAUUUCUGUGUCUGUUUCAUGAGGAAUACUGGUCUGUAGUUUUCUUAUGAUGCCUCUGUCAGGUUUUGGUAUCAGGAUUAUGCUGACUUCCUAAGAUGAUUUGAGAAAUAUUUUCUUUUCAGUUUUCUGAAAGAGUUUGAGUAAGAGUUGUAUUAUUUCUUCCUUCUGUGUUUGACAGUACUCACCAGGAAAGCACUCUGGGCCUAGAAUUUCCUUGCAGGAAGAAUUCAAUAUCAAAUUCAAUUUUGUUAAUAGAUAAUGGACCAUUCAGAGUAUUUCAAGUUGUAUCAGUUUUGUUAUGCUGUGUUUUUCAAGGAAUUUGUCCGCCUCCUAUAAGUGAUGCAAUUUAUUGGCAUAGAGUCUCUCAUAAUAUUCCCUUAUUUUUUGAUGUUUGUAGUCUAUAAUGCUAUCUUCUCUUUCAUUUCUGAUACUGGUAAUUCGUGAGCUUUCUCCCUUUUUUCUUGUUCAGUUCUGCUAGGGAUUUUACAAGAGAUUUACCGAAAUAUAAUUGACAUAUAAUAAACUGCACAUAUUUAAAGUAUACAAUUUGAUGAAUGCUGACAAGUAUACAUGAGUGAAACCAUCACCACAAUCAAGAUAAUGAAUAUUUCCAUCACCCACAAAAGUUUACUCAUGGCUCACUGUAAUUCCUCUCUCCCUCCACCCCUAUCUCCAUGCAACCAUUGAUUUGCUCUCUGGAACUAUAGUUUGCAUUUUCUAGAAGUUUAUAUAGAUAAAUUCAUGUGGUAUAUACCAUAUUAUUUGAUCCGCUUCUUUCACUCAGCAUAAUGAUUUUGAGACUCAUCCAUACUAUUGCAUGUAUCACAAAUUUGUUCUUUUUUGUGGCUGAAUAGCAUGUUCUAAAGAAAUACCAAAAUUUAUUUUUUCAUUCACCUGGUGAUGGACAUUGGAGUUCUUUCCAAUUUUUGCCCAUAAUCAAUAAAACUAAUAUGAACAUUCAUGUAUAAGCCUGUGGAUGGAUAUAUGCUUUCAUUUCUCUACCUAAAGUAGAAAUAUUGGAUUGUAUGGCAUAUUUUUAACUUUUUAAAGAAAUUAUCAAACUGUUUUCCAAAGUAAUUGUACAAUUUUAUAUUUUCAUCAGCAGUGUAUGAGAAUUCCAGUUGCUCCACAUCUUCUCCAACAUUCUAUGGUCAGUUCAAAAAAUUUUAGACAUUCUAAAGGCUUAAAAAAACUAUAAAAUGAUAGUUUUCAAAAAUUAUAUAAUAGUUUUAUCAUAUUGUUUUAAUUUGCAGCUACCUACUGACAAAUGAUGUUGAGCAUCUUUUCAUGUGUUUAUUUGCCAUCUACAUAUCUUCUUCAGUAAAGUGUCUGUUCAAAUCUUUAGGUCAUUUUCAAAUUGGUCAUUUGUCUUCUUAUUAAAGAGUUGUUAGAGGUCUUUAUAUAUUGCAGAUAAAAGUCUUUUGUCAAUUAUAUGUUUUGCAAAUAUUUCCUCCCAGGCUAUGGCUUGCCUUUGCCUUCUCUUAACAGUGUCUUUUGAAAAACACAGCUUUUUAAUUUUGAUAACAUCCACUCAGCAUAAUGCUCUUGUGAUCCAUCCAAGUUGUUGCAUCUAUCAAUAAUAUCCUCCUUUUUAUUGCUGAGUAGUAUUUCAUGGUAUGGAUGUACCACAAUUUAUUUAACCAUUCACCCAGUGAAGUUCAUCUGGGUUGUUUCCUUUUUAUCUGUAAAAUCUGUCUACAGGUUUUUGUGUAAACAAAAGUCUCCAUUUCUCUGGAUGAAUGCCCAACAGUGCAAGUGCUGGGUCAUGCUGCAUGUUUAGUUUCACAAGAAACUGCCAAAUUGUUUUCCAUAGUGGCUACACCAUUUUACAUUCCCCUUAUCAACGUAUGAGUGAUCUGGAUUCUCCACAGCCUUGCCAGCAUUUGAUAUUAUCACUAUUUAUUUCAGCCAUUCUGGUAUAUGUGCAGUGAUAGCUCACUGUGGUUUUAAUUUGCAUUUCCCUAAUGGCUAAUGAUGUUGAACAAUUUUUCAUGUGCUUAUUUGCUUAUCUGUAUAUCCUCUUCAGUGAAAUGUCUGCUCAUGUUUUUUGCCCAUAUUCUAAUUAAAUUGUUUGCUUUUUAUUGUUGAGUUUCAAGAAUUCCUUAUGUAUUCUAGAUACAAGUGAUUUGUUAAAUAUGUAAUUUACAAGUAUUUUCUCACAGUCAGUAGUUUGUCUUUACAUCCUUCUUAAGAGGGUGUUUUGCAGAGGAAAAAAUUUAAAUAUGGAUGAGGUUGAAUUUAUCAAUUUUUCCUUUUAUGGAUCAUGCUUUUUGUACCAACUUUCUUUUGUCUAGCCCUAGAUCCUGAAGAUUUUCUCUUAUGUAGUCUUCUAAAUGUUUAUAGUUUUAUGUCUUAUGUUAAUUUCAUAAUCUGUUUUGAGUUAAUUUUUGCAUGUUUGCUCAGUGUUCUUUUUUUUUUUUUUGCCUAUGGAUAUCUAAUUGCUCCUCCAGCACCAUUUGUUGAAAAGGAUAUCCUUCCUCUGUUGAAUCGCUUUCUCAUCUUUGUAAAAAAUCAGUUGGGCAUAUUUGUGUGGGUCUAUUUCUGGGUUCUCUAUUCUGUUCUAUUUUCCUAUGUAUCUAUCCCUUCACCAAUACCACACUGUCUUAAUUACGGUAGCUCUGGUAAUCCCUCCAAUACCAGUUUUGAUUACUGUAGCUCUAUAGUAAGCCUUAGUGUCAGGUAAAGUAAUUCCUCCCACUUUACUCUUUUUUGUUGUUUUAGCUAUUCCAGGCCUGGUGUCUUUCUACAUAAAUUUUAGAAUAUGGUUAUGUCUAUUAAAAAAAACUUGCGUGGAUUUUGAUAGGAAUUGCAUCAAACAUAUAGAUCAAUUUGGGGUGAAGUGACAUCUUCAUUAUAUUGAAUAUUCCAACACAUGAAUAUGGUAUGUCUCUCCAUUUAGUUAGGUCUUUGAUUUAUUUUCUCAGCAUCUUAUAAUUUUCAGCAUACAGAUCCUGCACAUAUUUUGUUAAGUUUCUACUAAGUAUUUUGUUUUCCUUGGAGUGACUGUAAAUACUAUGGCAUUAAAAAAAUACUUUUUUUUCUCUAGAGCAGUUUUAAGCUUCACAGCAAAGCUGAGAAGGUACAGAGAUUUCCCAUAUAGCCCCUGUCCAAAGGCACAGCCUUCCCCAUCAUCAACAUCAUCCACAAGCAUGAUACAUUUGUUACAAUUUACAAAACUACACUGACACAUCAUUAUCACCUAGAGUCCACAGUUUACAUUAGGGUUCACUGCUAGUGUUAUACAUUCCAUGGGUUUAAACAAAUGUCUAAUAACAUGUAUCCAUCAUUACAGUACUAUAUAGAGUAUUUUCACUGCCUCAAAAUUCUGUCCCACCUAUUCAUCCUCCCUCCCCUCUAACUCCCAGCAAACACUUAUGUUUUUACUGUCUCCACAGUUUUGCCUUCUCUAGAAUGUCAUAUAGUUGAAAUCAUACAGUUAGACUUCGCCUUUUCAGAUUGGCUUUUUACUUAGUAAUAUGCAUUUAAGUUUUCUCCAUGUCUUUUUAUGGCUUGAUAUCUCAUUUCUUUUUAGCUCUGAAUAAUAUUUCAUUGUCUGGAUGUACCACAGUUUACUUAUCCAUUCACUUACUGAAUGACACCUUGGUUGCUUCCAAGUUUGGCAAUGAUGAAUAAAGCUGCUCUAAAAACCUGUGUGCAAGUUUGGUGUGGGCAUAAAUUUUCAACUCCCUUAGGUAAAUAUCAAAGAAUUCAAUCAUUGGAUCAUAUGGUAAGAGUACGUUUAGUUUCGUAAGAAACUGUCAAACUGUUUUCCAAAGUGCCUGGACCAUUUUGCAUUCCCACCAGCAAUGAACAAAAGUUCCUGUCGCUCCACAGCCUCGUUAGCAUUUGGUGUGGUCAGUGUUCUGGAUUUUGGCCAUUCUAAUAGGUGUGAAGUAGUAUCUCCUGGUUUUAAUUUGCACUUCCCAGAUGAUAUAAUGUGGAGCAUAUUUUUACACAUUUAUUUGUCAUCUGUAUAUCUGUGGUGAGGUGUCUGUUAAGGUCUUUGGCCCAUUUUUUAAUAAGGUUGUUUGUCUUCUUAUUGUUGAGUUUUAAGAGUUCCUUGCAUAUUUUGGAGAACUGUCCUUUAUCAGAUAUGCCUUUUGCAUAUAUUUUCUCCCAGCCUGUGGCUUGUCUUUUCACUCUCUUGACAGUGACUUUCACAAAGCAGAAGUGUUUAAUUUUAGUGAAUUAGAGUUUGUAAAUUCUUUUCAUGGAUUGUGCCUUUGGUGAACUUCACGUGUUCUUCUCUUUCCCCACCCCGCAACUUAGGUGGGACAGGAUGCUAUUGUGGGCUGGAGUUGGGUAUUUCCCUUCCCCGGGGUCAGUUAGGCUGUGGUUAACUAGUUCUUCAGAGGGCAUGCCUUAUUAAGAAGAACAGAAUGCUCUGUCUUAUUUCAAAAUAGUUCCUUUUCCCUACCCCUGCCAGGAGGUCAAGAGGAAUUUUCUUCAACAUUCACUAUGAGGACCCAGUUGACCUCCUGAAGGAAUGUGUCUCUGGUCAAGAAUGUGGAGGCAUCCAGCAAGCACACAGGCUGUUACACAAACACGGAGACCCAGGAUCAGCUGGUCCAAAUGCCCAUCCACACCAGGACAGAUCUCGUGUAGGUGUCCCCUCCUUGCUGGAGUGGCCAGGUGCAACUGAUACAGGCUGGGGCUCCAGUGUGCAGCAAAGGAGCACUUUCCCUGUUUAGGAAACACUUUCAUAGGUCCCUGGUGUCCCCAUGCAAAGUGACUUGCUAAUUGGCCCCAGCUAUGAAAGUGGCAGUCAGGAUUUGAACCCACUUCUGCUGACCCAAAGCCUGUGAGUGGCACACUCAGCUAUCUGGCCUCUUGGGUCACAGGAGGCCAGAGAGGUCCAGGACCCAUCCAUUUUACAGAUGAGGAAACUGAGGCCCAGAGCCUGGAGCCAUACACAUAGCUCCCUGGGGUAUUUGGCCUAUGAUGAUCUCCCCUCAAAGUGGCUGCAUCUCUCUGUCUGGCCAUCCCCGGUCUCGUGCAUCUAUUGACUCACCUCCCUUCAUCAACCAACACACACACGUGCUGAUUACCUGCCGGGGCCCUGCACUGUGGGGAGGGGCUCCAAGGUCAGAGCACUUGGGAUGUAAAGAGAGCAUGGGCUGCCUGGGGGGAGUCCCACCCCCUCCCCAACACACGCAUUGUCCUCCACACCCCUGGAUGGGAAUAAGAUAAUUUGCCUUGCACGAGGCAAAUUGCUUAUGAAAUGUUACCUAUUCUAGUGGUUGCUAAUAACAUCCCUAUGGUUGGUACAAGAAAGUGAGCAUUGAGGGGGCCUGGGGGAUCUUUUUGGCAUGCAUGCCUCACUCAGCCCAGUCACCUUGGGUGCCAGGGACACAGCACACCUCCAGCCUCCCACAGGGCCGGUCUGGCUCCCCCUCCGAGGCUGCUGGAAAUUGCCCUGGCCAGAAACUGGGUUGGGAGUGCAGCAGGCUGGGAAGGCAUCCCCACAAAAGGAAUGAGCUUUUCAGGGGCACUUAAUAAAUCCUGGAUGAGGAAGCUGGUUUCAGGCCAUCGCCACACUGAACCAAGCGUGCUCAUGGAUGCCACAGAAAUCUACCCAACCCGUUGAAGAAAGGAAGACUCUCAGACAUUAAAAAGAGAUCUACAGUUACGGAGUUAGCAGAAACUUCCUAAAUUGAUUCAGGAGGAGGGGGAAGGAGUCCGAACCAGGUGGAAUUUCUCACACAGCCAACAGGAAUCCACAGUUUCGGCUCAAGGCCACCUCAUGUUCUAAUUGUGCUAAUGGUGAAUGUGAACCAGGCCUCUGAGCUUUUCAAUUUGGGGAUUUUGUUUUCCUUUCUGAAGAAUGCCCCUUGGACUCAUCCCAAGAGCUCUCAGGACCACAGUGGGGACUGAAGUAAAGCAAAAACGGCCCAGUAGUUGGAAGUUAGUAAGAACUCAUUCCACUCCUUGAGGGAGCACUACCUUCCUGGAUAUUCUCACCCUCACAUCCCUGUCGCCCUCCCCCCAAGAUGCUGCUGCCAUAGAAGAGAGAAACCCCAAGCCGUCAGCGGGGAGGGCAGGCCUGGGCUUUGGGGACCUGGCUGGCUGUAGGAGGGCAUGAAGGCAGCCCCCUUCCCUCCUAAGCCCUAUUCACAGCUGUGCACAAGGACCCCCACCUGGGCCAGCAUUCUCUAGGAGCUGAGCCUGGCUCAGGGGUGCGGGGCUGAUGACAAUAUCUCAGAUGUGCGUGGGGUCUGGUACUUUUCCAAAGGCUUUCAAAUGCAUUAUCUUGUUGGAGGCUCAUUUGAGGCAAGAACUCAGCAGACUGGAAAACAACUAAUUUACUGAAUCCUGAAUGGAGAGGAAGCCGAAUGCAGCGUGUGUUUUUGCUGAAUCUCAAACCAAAACAACCUUUUGUUAAAGAACAAACAAAUAAACAAAAAUGCUGAACGUCAGUUCACCAGGGAACACAGUCUGAACAGAGGCUCUGGGCAGGGAAAUAUGCAGCAAAUUCAAAUUCAACAAACGUGUAUUGGGAGAGGGGCCUGCUGGAGUCACAGAUGUGCUCAUGAGGGGCCCCUAAGAGCUUUUAAGGGGCAUUCCAGCAUGCAUCAGGAGACAAGGUUGAUCUUUCCACAGAGCAAAAACACUGAGCCAUGGGAGGUGCUGCUGGGAGCUGGCUGGGGAGGGGGCCCUCCAGGUGGGGGGGACCCCUGAGCAAGGCAGGGAGGAGGGGUGCAUUUGGACCUUGAGACCAUGCUGCGUCUGAGUGGAGGCUGCAUUGCCUAUGGGGGGGAGCAUUGGAGGUUCCCCCUUGGAGUAGCACUUGGGGUGAUUACUCUGUAGCAGUGAGGUGGGGUGGGAUAUUUUGAGAUGAUCAAAUGGCCAUCAGCAUUUCCAAAAUAAAAAUGAUUUUGGUCAGUUUGAGUAGCUUCUUUGAAAUAAGUCUAUUCUCCCAUUUUUGGUGGCACAGAAAGAAAGGUGAAGUGACACAGCCGGAAAUGUGUGUGGGCAUUUUAGGGGGUUGGUCAGGUUUCUCAUGUCCAGGGCCAGGAUGGGAGGUGGAGACGGAGGGCUCGCCUAACCCUGCAUCUACUUGACCGGCCACCCCACACUCGUGCCAAGGGGAGAACGGCAGGACCAAGGGCUGUGGGGACUAGUGGGGACCCUUGGUGCACAGGCUGGCACACCAUGGGCCCCUACACCCCAGCUCCGUUUAUGCACGUUCACAAGGACACAUUCUUGGCCUGCAGUUUCUUCCUCCUGCUGGAGACUGGCUUCCUGGAGCCCAGCUUUGAGGGUGUAGAAGCCAGGGAUUGGAUGGGCAUCUCAGAGAGAAGCUGGCAAGAGCUGCCUAUUGCAAGGCCAUUAAGCAAGCUAAUGAGCCAUGAAGCCUCCCAGCCUUUCCGGCUGCCAGCCGUGCCUCCCCUCGGCUCAGAGAGCCCAUGCCCACCGACCGCCUUGUGACCGCUGUUAUUGUUACCUAACGUGUCGGGCCACGGUUUUCCCAGACAGGGCCCAGGCCCCAGAGCUGCUGCUUGCCUUUUCCAGGCCCAGCCAGGGCUGUGCACACAGCAGGCAGUUAACAAAUAUUUGCUUGGGAUCAAGCCCAGAAAGAGUCACC
Molecule: long non-coding RNA, 16737 nt
Filed under: Equus caballus (horse)
Lineage: Eukaryota; Metazoa; Chordata; Mammalia; Perissodactyla; Equidae
Description: lncRNA (ENSECAG00000055289.1)
Source: RNAcentral